UAGGGAAUCUUCGGCAAUGGGGGGAACCCUGACCGAGCAACGCCGCGUGAGUGAAGAAGGUUUUCGGAUCGUAAAGCUCUGUUGUUAAGGAAGAACGAGUGUGAGAAUGGAAAGUUCAUGCUGUGACGGUACUUAACCAGAAAGGGACGGCUAACUACGUGCCAGCAGCCGCGGUAAUACGUAGGUCCCGAGCGUUGUCCGGAUUUAUUGGGCGUAAAGCGAGCGCAGGCGGUUAGAAAAGUCUGAAGUGAAAGGCAGUGGCUCAACCAUUGUAGGCUUUGGAAACUGUUUAACUUGAGUGCAGAAGGGGAGAGUGGAAUUCCAUGUGUGGCGGUGAAAUGCGUAGAUAUAUGGAGGAACACCGGUGGCGAAGGCGGCUCUCUGGUCUGUAACUGACGCUGAGGCUCGAAAGCGUGGGGAGCGAACAGG
RNAcentral lists this ribosomal RNA (429 nucleotides) under Bacteroidota bacterium. RNAcentral's name for it is "Bacteroidetes bacterium partial 16S ribosomal RNA". It matches the Rfam family "Bacterial small subunit ribosomal RNA", at positions 355 to 776 of the family's 1533-position model. Lineage: Bacteria; Pseudomonadati; Bacteroidota. The record is from RNAcentral.